GCAUUUAAGCGACUUGGAACGUGGUGGAGUAUUUCAGAAACUCCUCAUCUACUAGGACUUUCAUAUCACGCACAUCUCCCGGGAAUUCGUACGGUAGCCGAAAGGGCGGUGCUUGGCGACCGCAAAUCCAUAUAAACCCGCCUGUCGCGUCGCCGAUUCAGAAAUUCGAAAGCCAAUCAUGUGCGCGAUUCCAUCUUUCAGCAGCGAAUCGUCUGCGUGAUUCAAUCUUUCAACAGCCAAUCGUCUGCGUGAUUCAAUCUUUCGACAGUGUUUCCCGGUUUAAAUUAAACUGCGGUCUCAAUCUUUGGAAAAGCCAAUCGAUCCGAGAGUUUAUUUAGAAUUUAAAAAUCUGCCCGCUGUUUAUUACGGACAUCUCCGUGGAUUUUGACAAGGUACGUGCGCAAAUUGAGGUCUGUUAUUCGUUACGGUUUUUUUUUUCAUUUCACAUAAAAUAUCACCGUAAAUGCUCAAUGCAAUAUGUCCAAGUCAUGUCAGGCAUUUGUAACGCUAAUGUAACUUGAUCAUCGGGAGUUUUGCAAUAAAGUUUGUGCAGUUGCUGCCGGAGCUUUAGCUGGUUGUAUUUUUUUCUGCCGAUGAAAUUGCUUGUUUUCUUUGGCAGUUGUACGCUGGAGUGCGUCGUUUCUGAUUACUUGUUAUGUUAUGGUCUCCACUACCUCCAGCAGUGCCUCCUCCACCUCCAGCCGUGCCUCCUCCACCUCCAGCCGUGCCUACUCUUCAGUCAUCUACAGUUUUGCUUCAGCCCCAGCUUCCUUCUUCCAUGUCCUCUUCACAACAGGAUGCUGUAGACAACCGCAACAUUCCUGGAACGGACCGUGUAGAUGAACUGGCUGAAUACUUGGUGGAGCUACGAGAACAGACAGGAUUGACCCUGAACAAUCAACAAGUUAGCACCAUUCUGGGUUUGCGGCAGAGUCUUGACAAAUUUGACAAAGACAGGAUUGUGUAUGCUGCAAGACAUCAGGACCGGUUGCUAACUGGGCACUUCAGGUCUCCUAAAAAGAAGGCUGUGUUCACUCCUGGGGUGGAAAGCACAAAACGGUGUGUUCUUGGCUCAAGUGGUUCACCAGCUCAGUGGCCAAACUGCUGUCGCCUGAUAGAGACCAUCUUCGCGAGGCUGUGCAACAUUCAUACGAGCCCCAAAAAAGAGGACAACACAGCGUAUCUCGAUGGUCUCUAAUUUUACAGGAUUACAAAAAGAUCCGGAAGCUGGUUCUGUGCAAUGGGACACUAAUGCAGCAGACAACCCUUCAACGUGUUGUAGUGAACCAGACCACCCUCAUGCAGUGGAAUAACCAACGGCUGAAGGGUCAGGAGGCGUCUGUUCUUUUGCAAGGUGUGCAACGGCCAGUGGCAGCUGACCCACUGCCCUUUGCAAAAACAAAACCCAUCUCUCUGCCACAGUACCAACAACAGCCCCCAGUUACCAGCUGCACACAUACCAUAUGCCAGCAAAUACAGCUGGACAGGCAAAACCUAGGUUACGGCAAAUUGAUCCUGCAGUUGCCUCCAGUGGACCAUCAGCCACCCUCUUCAGUACAAAGGAAAAAUAUACUGUCCAAACACUGAGGCUCUCACCAAAGAACAGUGGCUGAAGCAGAUGAGACAGUAAUGCAGUAUUGUUACUUUUAAUAUGCUUAUCCCUGUGGCCUGUUCUGCCCUUUGAGUUCCACUGCAAGUUUUACAUCUUAUUUCAUAGUUGUAUCAAGGUUUCAUUGGGGUUUGAUUUGUUUCUUUGACAAUUUCAGCUUUAUAAAUGCUUAAAUGUGAAUGUCAUUUUGUUCACAAUUGUACAUACAUAUUGUCUUUGUUAUAAAUUAAAAGUUUUACAAACCAUUGGGAGAGCGUUAGACUGAAGAUCUAAAGGUCCCUGGUUCGAUCCCGGGUUUCGGCAUUUUCCUGCCGAAACUUUUUAAGUGAUUGUAGAGGCAUAUCAAAUAAAUUAUUACAUUAUUCGGUUUUAGAAGAUUCUAAUCAGAAAUAGCUGAAGAGGGCUGUAGGGGAGCCUCACUAAAACGGCUGGAGUUGUGUCAGGCUCUCAUUUUACAGAUGAUGCAAUUCUUGAAUUCAGCAAAAACAAAAUACAAAAGGACUUGUACAUCUCCCAGUUUAGUUGUAAAUGCAAAAAAAAAAAAAGAAUCAUAGUCCGUCGUGCAUUAUUUUUUAUUAUAAUACUCAUUUCAAAGCAGUAGCAUUGCAGCUGUAAAGCAAAAUGUCAAAAGAAAAACUCCACUUUAUUAGGUCUACCUGUUCAAUUGUUAACACAAAUCAGCCUAACUUUAAAUAGAAGUUCAAAGCGAGCAUCAGAAAGGGAAGAGAGGGCAUUUAAGCGACUUUGAACGUGGUGGAGUAUUUCAGAAGCUCCUCAUCUACUGGGACUUUCACGCACAUCUCCAACUGAAAGGAUGGCUGAUGGUCCACCGUAUUCACCGUAACCUAGGUUUUGCCUGUCCAGCUGUAUUUGCUGGCAUAUGGUAGGUGUGAAGCUGGGGGCUGGCGUUGGUACUGUGGCAGAGAGAUGGGUUUUGUUUUUGCAAAAGGGCAGUGGGUCAGCUGGCCGUUGCACACCUUGCAAAAGAACAGACGCCUCCUGACCCUUCAACCGUUGGUUAUACCACUGCAUGAGGGUGGUCUGGUUCACUACAACACGUUGAAGGGUUGUCUGCUGCAUUAGUGUCCCAUUGCACAGAACCAGCUGCCGAGAUACGCUGUGUUGUCCUCUUUCUUUGGGGCUCGUGUGAAUGUUGCACAGCCUCACGAAGAUGGUCUCAAUCAGGCGACAGCAGUUUGGCCACUGAGCUGGUGAACCACUUGAGCCAAGAACACACCGUUUUGUACUUUCCACCCCAGGAGUGAACACAGCCUUCUUUUUAGGAGACCUGAAGUGCCCAGUUAGCCACCGGUCCUGAUGUCUUGCAGCAUACACAAUCCUGUCUUUGUCAAAUUUGUCAAGACUCUGCCGCAAACCCAGAAUGGUGCUAACUUGUGGAUUGUUCAGGGUCAAUCCCGUCUGCUCUCGUAGCUCCACCAAGUAUUCAGCCAGUUCAUCUACACGGUCCGUUCCAGGAAUGUUGCGGUUGUCUACAGCCUGGAAAAUAAAAACUGAUAUUUAGGUUCUCUGGCAUCACAAUUUCCUUGUCACUACUUAAAUUCUUGCAGACAGACAGACAGACUUCAGGGACCCGACGAGAACCCAAAUGCGACACCGGAGUUCGACGGAACACAGCUUUAUUAUCAGGAAUAGACAGCAGACAGGAUUCACUGGGGAGCCGGCAGGAUAGAAUAGUUGGGGAAGGUGGAAGGUGAUCUAUAGAUCGACUGAGAAUUUAUUUAUUUAUCACUUACAUCCUGUUGUGAAGAGGACAUGGAAGAAGGAAGCUGGGGCUGAAGCAAAACUGUAGAUGACUGAAGAGGAGGCCCAGCUGGAGGUGGAGGAGGCACGGCUGGAGGUAGUGGAGACCAUAACAUAACAAGUAAUCAGAAACGACGCACUCCAGCGUACAACUGCCAAAGAAAACAAGCAAUUUCAUCGGCAGAAUAAAAUACAACCAGCUAAAGCUACGGCAGCAACUGCACAAACUUUAUUGCAAAACUCCCGAUGUUCAAGUUACAUUAGCGUUACAAAUGCCUGACAUGACUUGGACAUAUUGCAUUAAGCAUUUACGGUGAUAUUUUAUGUGAAAUGAAAAAAAAAAACCGUAACGAAUUACAGACCUCAAUUUGCGCACGUACCUUGUCAAAAUCCACGGAGAUGUUCGGAAUAAACAGCGGGCAGAUUUUUAAAUUCUAAAUAAACUCUCGGAUCGAUUGGCUUUUCCAAAGAUUGAGACCGCAGUUUAAUUUAAACCAAGAAACACUGUCGAAAGAUUGAAUCACGCAGACGAUUGGCUGUUGAAAGAUUGAAUCACGCAGACGAUUGGCUGUUGAAAGAUUGAAUCACGCAGACGAUUGGCUGUUGAAAGAUUGAAUCACGCAGACGAUUCGCUGCUGAAAGAUGGAAUCGCGCACAUGAUUGGCUUUCGAAUUUCUGAAUCGGCGACGCGACAGGCGGGUUUAUAUGGAUUUGCGGUCGCCAAGCACCGCCCUUUCGGCUACCGUACGAAUUCCCGGGAGAUGUGCGUGAUAUGAAAGUCCUAGUAGAUGAGGAGUUUCUGAAAUACUCCACCACGUUCCAAGUCGCUUAAAUGCCCUCUCUUCCCUUUCUGAUGCUCGCUUUUAACUUCUAUUUAAAGUUAGGCUGAUUUGUGUUAACAAUUGAACAGGUAGACCUAAUAAAGUGGAGUUUUUCUUUUGACAUUUUGCUUUACAGCUGCAAUGCUACUGCUUUGAAAUGAGUAUUAUAAUAAAAAAUAAUGCACGACGGACUAUGAUUCUUUUUUUUUCCGGCAAAAUGCCGAAACCCGGGAUCGAACCAGGGACCUUUAGAUCUUCAGUCUAACGCUCUCCCAACUGAGCUAUUUCGGCUACCGUACUACGUAAUAGACGUAGUAGAUGUUUCCUAAUAAUAUACUACUCUUAUUCAAUUAAUAAAUAUUUGAAAAUGCUGAUGUAUUCUGUCUUAGUUCUGAAUUGCAACGAAUGAGACCGCAGUUUGUUUAGCUGUCGAAAGAUUGACUUCGCUGUUUAAUUGGUUUUUCGAAAGAUCUCCGAUUCGCUGCUAAAAGAUGGAAUCGCGCACAUGAUUGACUUUCGAAUUUCUGGAUCGGCGACGCGACUGGCGGGCUUAUAUGGAUUUGCAGGAUAGAAUAGUUGGGGAAGGUGGAAGGUGAUCUAUAGAUCGACUGAGAAUUUAUUCUUUUAUCACUCACAUCCUGUUGUGAAGAGGACAUGGAAGAAGGAAGCUGGGGCUGAAGCAAAACUGUAGAUGACUGAAGAGGAGGCACUGCUGGAGGUGGUGGAGGCACGGCUGGAGGUGGAGGAGGCACUGCUUAAGGUGGUCAUCAGAAUACCACCAAUACCCUAAUACCCUAAUCAGAAACGACGCACUCCAGCGUACAACUCCCAAAGAAAACAAGCAAUUUCAUCGGCAGAAAAAAAUACAACCAGCUAAAGCUACGGCUGCAACUGCACAAACUUGAUUGCAAAACUCCCGAUGUUCAAGUUACAUUAGCGUUACAAAUGCCUGACAUGACUUGGAUAUAUUGCAUUUACGGAACUUGGUUACCGCAAAUCCAUAUAAGCCCGCUAGUCGCGUCGCCGAUUCAGAAAUUCGAAAGUCAAUCAUGUGCGCGAUUCCAUCUUUUAGCAGCGAAUCGGAGAUCUUUCGAAAACCAAUUAACGAAUCAACGAAAACCAAUUAAACAGCGAAGUCAAUCUUUGGACAGCAAAACAAAUUGCGGUCUCAUUCGUUGCAAUUCAGAACUAAGACAAAAUAAACCGGCAUUUUCAAAUAUUUAUUUGACUAAUAGUAGUAUAUUAUUAGAAAUACCGUUCUACGGUAGCCGAAAUAGCUCAGUUGGGAGAGCGUUAGACUGAAGAUCUAAAGGUCCCUGGUUCGAUCCCGGGUUUCGGCAUUUUGCCAAAAAAAAAAGAAUCAUAGUCCGUCGUGCAUUAUUUUUAUACUCAACUUUAUUAGGUCUACCUGUUCAAUUGUUAACACAAAUCAGCCUAACUUUAAAUAGAAGUUCAAAGUGA
Molecule: long non-coding RNA, 5652 nt
Organism: Takifugu rubripes (torafugu)
Lineage: Eukaryota; Metazoa; Chordata; Actinopteri; Tetraodontiformes; Tetraodontidae
Source: Ensembl